GUUGGGUAGGGGAGCGUUCUGUAAGCCUGUGAAGGUGGCCUGUGAGGGUUGCUGGAGGUAUCAGAAGUGCGAAUGCUGACAUAAGUAACGAUAAAGCGGGUGAAAAGCCCGCUCGCCGGAAGACCAAGGGUUCCUGUCCAACGUUAAUCGGGGCAGGGUGAGUCGACCCCUAAGGCGAGGCCGAAAGGCGUAGUCGAUGGGAAACGGGUUAAUAUUCCCGUACUUGGUGUUACUGCGAAGGGGGGACGGAGAAGGCUAUGUUGGCCGGGCGACGGUUGUCCCGGUUUAAGCGUGUAGGUGUGUGUUCCAGGUAAAUCCGGUUCACUUUAACACUGAGGCGUGAUGACGAGGCACUACGGUGCUGAAGUAACAAAUGCCCUGCUUCCAGGAAAAGCCUCUAAGCAUCAGGUAACAUCAAAUCGUACCCCAAACCGACACAGGUGGUCAGGUAGAGAAUACCAAGGCGCUUGAGAGAACUCGGGUGAAGGAACUAGGCAAAAUGGUGCCGUAACUUCGGGAGAAGGCACGCUGACACGUAGGUGAAGUGAUUUACUCACGGAGCUGAAGUCAGUCGAAGAUACCAGCUGGCUGCAACUGUUUAUUAAAAACACAGCACUGUGCAAACACGAAAGUGGACGUAUACGGUGUGACGCCUGCCCGGUGCCGGAAGGUUAAUUGAUGGGGUCAGCGCAAGCGAAGCUCCUGAUCGAAGCCCCGGUAAACGGCGGCCGUAACUAUAACGGUCCUAAGGUAGCGAAAUUCCUUGUCGGGUAAGUUCCGACCUGCACGAAUGGCGUAAUGAUGGCCAGGCUGUCUCCACCCGAGACUCAGUGAAAUUGAACUCGCUGUGAAGAUGCAGUGUACCCGCGGCAAGACGGAAAGACCCCGUGAACCUUUACUAUAGCUUGACACUGAACAUUGAGCCUUGAUGUGUAGGAUAGGUGGGAGGCUUUGAAGUGUGGACGCCAGUCUGCAUGGAGCCGACCUUGAAAUACCACCCUUUAAUGUUUGAUGUUCUAACGUGGACCCGUUACCCGGGUUGCGGACAGUGUCUGGUGGGUAGUUUGACUGGGGCGGUCUCCUCCUAAAGAGUAACGGAGGAGCACGAAGGUUGGCUAAUCCUGGUCGGACAUCAGGAGGUUAGUGCAAUGGCAUAAGCCAGCUUGACUGCGAGCGUGACGGCGCGAGCAGGUGCGAAAGCAGGUCAUAGUGAUCCGGUGGUUCUGAAUGGAAGGGCCAUCGCUCAACGGAUAAAAGGUACUCCGGGGAUAACAGGCUGAUACCGCCCAAGAGUUCAUAUCGACGGCGGUGUUUGGCACCUCGAUGUCGGCUCAUCACAUCCUGGGGCUGAAGUAGGUCCCAAGGGUAUGGCUGUUCGCCAUUUAAAGUGGUACGCGAGCUGGGUUUAGAACGUCGUGAGACAGUUCGGUCCCUAUCUGCCGUGGGCGCUGGAGAACUGAGGGGGGCUGCUCCUAGUACGAGAGGACCGGAGUGGACGCAUCACUGGUGUUCGGGUUGUCAUGCCAAUGGCACUGCCCGGUAGCUAAAUGCGGAAGAGAUAAGUGCUGAAAGCAUCUAAGCACGAAACUUGCCCCGAGAUGAGUUCUCCCUGAGACUUAAAGUCUCCUGAAGGAACGUUGAAGACGACGACGUUGAUAGGCCGGGUGUGUAAGCGCAGCGAUGCGUUGAGCUAACCGGUACUAAUGAACCGUGAGGCUUAACCCUACAACGCCGAAG
Molecule: ribosomal RNA, 1737 nt
Filed under: Salmonella enterica subsp. enterica serovar Dublin
Lineage: Bacteria; Pseudomonadati; Pseudomonadota; Gammaproteobacteria; Enterobacterales; Enterobacteriaceae
Description: partial 23S ribosomal RNA
Rfam family: Bacterial large subunit ribosomal RNA
Source: RNAcentral